Molecule: unclassified non-coding RNA, 378 nt
Filed under: uncultured Cellvibrionales bacterium
Lineage: Bacteria; Pseudomonadati; Pseudomonadota; Gammaproteobacteria; Cellvibrionales
Description: contains 16S-23S intergenic spacer region
Source: RNAcentral
UCCGGUUUGUCACCGGCAGUCUCCUUAGAGUUCCCGCCAUUACGCGCUGGCAACUAAGGACAAGGGUUGCGCUCGUUACGGGACUUAACCCAACAUCUCACGACACGAGCUGACGACAGCCAUGCAGCACCUGUCACUCGGUUCCCGAAGGCACCCCCGCAUCUCUGCAGGGUUCCGAGGAUGUCAAGACCUGGUAAGGUUCUUCGCGUUGCAUCGAAUUAAACCACAUGCUCCACCGCUUGUGCGGGCCCCCGUCAAUUCAUUUGAGUUUUAACCUUGCGGCCGUACUCCCCAGGCGGUCUACUUAUUGCGUUAGCUGCGCCACCAAGUCCUCAAGGAACCCGACGGCUAGUAGACAUCGUUUACGGCGUGGACUAC